ACAUAUUUGUCUUUCUCUCUCCUCUCCUCAUUCAACCUCAUUCCUCAUAUUUAAUGUUGACCAUAAAUGACUUAAUUACAAUAAACAAUUUUCAAAACCGCUAAACAUACGACCUUAUCACACAAAUCAAAAUCAUUAAAUGAAAUUUACUCAGAUUUAUUUCAGAUUUAAGUGUGAUUUUUAAAACCCACACCACAACGCCUGACUCCUUGCACUGUCACGGCGACGUCGUCGUUCUCAUGCCGCUACACCUUCUCCUCACAUUGCAGGUUGCUCAUCACUGUGUGAUUUAGGGACGGGUCAAUUUACCUUCAUGAUGCAGCAUCGUCCUCACGUGCUUGGCCCUCCUCUGUCUACCGCCGUACGCUUCAACCUCUGUCAGCAACAAAUGAAGGAACUAGACAACACGUAGUGGUCUUAAAAUAUUGGUUGGCCAACACUGAUGUAUGGAAGAGCUACAGAAGAAGGGGAAUGCAAAGAUAGUAAGGAGUCUCCAGAAACUCAAAUGAAUUUAUCCAGAAACACCAUAUUUGUCCUCAAAUCGUCGUAGUCUUCAAAUUGCAACGCUGUACUCCUCUUCACGCAUCACAGAAUCGUCGUUCAAUCUCACAUCGUCCCCUUCUCUCAUGGUUGAUCGCCUUGCUCUGUCUUCAAUCUCAGAUUGUUGCAAUCUCAAAGUGUCUUUGCCCUCACUCUGCCAGACGAUACGAACAAAAUAGUUGGCAGAGAACAACAAUUUGACGGUCAUCGCUUUUGCAAACCAAUGUCUGAGGAUAAACAUGGCAGUCAUUGCUUUUGCAGCUUCACAAAUUCACGAUUCAGAAUACCGGUAGUCAUUCAAUCAAUAUGGGAAGCUCAGAUUUAAUAUUGUACGUAGUAAAGAAUGGGCUGCCUGCUGCUUUAAAAUCCUCUUCUGAAACAUAGAUUAUAUCGCAUGCUGCAUGCAGUGAACAUUACACCCUUACAGUGUAAUUAAGGGUACAAAGAAGGAAGAAACUAGAUGUGCACAAAUGAAAAUCUUUUAUGAUGGAGAAGUGAUUGUGCUUGAUGAUAUUUCAGAUGAAAAAGCCAAGGACAUCAUGGUUUUUUCUACCAACAACUAUGCUGCUUUUAUUUGGAUGUAUGAUAUUUUAGAGGAUAUGCUUGAUUUGAAUCACAUGUCUUUAUGGUUUUAUUUUGUGUGUUUUGCAUUCAUGACUUUUGUUUUCAUAUAUUCAAAUUUACCAAUGACUAGGAAAGCUUCACUUCAUCGGUUCUUGGAGAAAAAGGAAGAAUAGGGCACCAUAUCAAACAACUUAUCCAGCAACAACCAUUAAUAAGACAAUUGAUAAAUCCAUGGCAUGGCUCUCCCUUACACCAUAAUCACAACAACACAAAUCUGACGUUAACUCCACCUCGGUGAUAUUUUAACUGAUUUUGUUUUGUUGGACAGACUCUAACAUUUUACAGGCUUCUCUGCUACCCUUUUGUUGUUUCUCUAUGACUGGAUCAAUUAGAUCAUGUGUAUUUAUUUAUUUUUGUAAGAAUGAGUCCUAUGCUAAAAAAUAUCUAUACAUAUUUGUGAAUGUUGUGGCGCGUCCUUAUUAGUAUCAUAUUUAAGAGUGUAUUUCUGAUUAACCCCAAAAACAAUGUAUUUAUAGUUAUUUACAUUCAUUAUAUGUGAGUGUGUCUCUA
Long non-coding RNA from Trifolium pratense (red clover), 1674 nucleotides. RefSeq lists it as uncharacterized. The record is from RefSeq and is a predicted model, not a curated record. NCBI's taxonomy places the organism in Eukaryota, Viridiplantae, Streptophyta, Magnoliopsida, Fabales, Fabaceae. The transcript is spliced from 7 exons.